UACGUAGGCAGCGAGCGUUGUUCGGAGUUACUGGGCGUAAAGGGCGCGCAGGCGGCUGCUCAAGUCAGGCGUGAAAGGCCUGGGCUCAACCCGGGAAUUGCGCUUGAGACUGGGCUGGCUUGAGUGCGGGAGAGGAUGGUGGAAUUCCCAGUGUAGAGGUGAAAUUCGUAGAUAUUGGGAAGAACACCGGUGGCGAAGGCGGCCAUCUGGACCGCAACUGACGCUGAGGCGCGAAAGCGUGGGGAGCAAACAGG
Molecule: ribosomal RNA, 254 nt
Filed under: uncultured bacterium
Lineage: Bacteria
Description: partial 16S ribosomal RNA
Rfam family: Bacterial small subunit ribosomal RNA
Source: RNAcentral